AUUGAACGCUAGCGGGAUGCUUUACCCAUGCAAGUCGAACGGCAGCGCGGACUUCGGUUUGGCCGCGAGUGUCGAACGGGAGAGUAAUGUAUCGGAACGUGCCCAGUAGCGGGGGAUAACUACGCGAAAGCGUAGCUAAUACCGCAUACGCCCUACGGGGGAAAGCAGGGGAUCGUAAGACCUUGCACUAUUGGAGCGGCCGAUAUCGGAUUAGCUAGUUCGUGAGGUAACGGCUCACCAAGGCGACGAUCCGUAGCUUGUUUGAGAGGAAGACCAGCCAGGCUUGGGCUGAGACACGGCCCAGACUCCUAAGGGAGGCAGCAGUGGGGAAUGUUGGGCCAUGGGGGCAAGCCUGGUCCAGCCAUCCCGCGUGUGCGAUGAAGGCCUUCGGGUGGGAAGGCACGUUUGGGAGGGAAGAACCGUCGCGGGCUUAGAGCCCGUGGAACUGACGGUACCUGCAGAAUAAGCACCGGCUAACUACGUG
RNAcentral lists this ribosomal RNA (484 nucleotides) under uncultured bacterium. Its description in RNAcentral is "partial 16S ribosomal RNA". It matches the Rfam family "Bacterial small subunit ribosomal RNA", at positions 29 to 507 of the family's 1533-position model. The record is from RNAcentral.